This 73-nucleotide transfer RNA is filed under the name Parcubacteria group bacterium ADurb.Bin115. Its description in RNAcentral is "tRNA-Arg". It matches the Rfam family "tRNA". From Rfam's summary of the family: Transfer RNA (tRNA) molecules are approximately 80 nucleotides in length. Their secondary structure includes four short double-helical elements and three loops (D, anti-codon, and T loops). The record is from RNAcentral.
GCCCUUGUAGUUUAAUGGAUAAAACGAGAAUCUCCUAAGUUCUAAAUCCAGGUUCGAUUCCUGGCGAGGGCAC